Molecule: ribosomal RNA, 468 nt
Filed under: uncultured bacterium
Lineage: Bacteria
Description: partial 16S ribosomal RNA
Rfam family: Bacterial small subunit ribosomal RNA
Source: RNAcentral
GACGAACGCUGGCGGCGUGCUUAACACAUGCAAGUCGAACGGAAAGGCCCUGCUUUUGUGGGGUGCUCGAGUGGCGAACGGGUGAGUAACACGUGAGUAACCUGCCCUUGACUUUGGGAUAACUUCAGGAAACUGGGGCUAAUACCGGAUAGGAGCUCCUGCUGCAUGGUGGGGGUUGGAAAGUUUCGGCGGUUGGGGAUGGACUCGCGGCUUAUCAGCUUGUUGGUGGGGUAGUGGCUUACCAAGGCUUUGACGGGUAGCCGGCCUGAGAGGGUGACCGGCCACAUUGGGACUGAGAGACGGCCCAGACUCCUACGGGAGGCAGCAGUGGGGAAUAUUGCACAAUGGGCGGAAGCCUGAUGCAGCAACGCCGCGUGCGGGAUGACGGCCUUCGUGUUGUAAACCGCUUUCACCUGUGACGAAGCGUGAGUGACGGUAAUGGGUAAAGAAGCACCGGCUAACUACGUG